CGGCGGACGGGUGAGUAACGCGUGGGUAACCGUGCCUCAUACAGGGGGAUAACAGUUGGAAACGGACUGCUAAUACCGCAUAAGCGCACAGUACCGCAUGGUACGGUGUGAAAAAACUACCGGUGGUAUGAGAUGGACCCGCGUCUGAUUAGGUAGUUGGUGGGGUAACGGCCUACCAAGCCGACGAUCAGUAGCCGACCUGAGAGGGUAACCGGCCACAUUGGGACUGAGACACGGCCCAA
Molecule: ribosomal RNA, 242 nt
Filed under: uncultured bacterium
Lineage: Bacteria
Description: partial 16S ribosomal RNA
Rfam family: Bacterial small subunit ribosomal RNA
Source: RNAcentral